GAGAUAAAGAGAUUCAUUGUUUAAUUUGGAUAGAGAUGCAUUGUACAAAAGCUUGUAAACUGGGUCAUACUUUGAAUUUAGGGAGUAAAGUUGAAAGAAGGCUAAAGAAGGAAAGGAGAUUAUUCUUGCUGUUGCCUUCUUUUUCAGAUGGUGGGUGCUCUUGGGUAAGGAUGCCCCCCCUACCCUUCUUCAAUAAAUUCACCAACGAUCAUUAUUUCAGUGUCUUCUUCCUUCAUCUUUCCCUGUGAGGUUUCGAUCGUCUAGCGACUUAGGGUCACAUAACCUUCCCACAAAAUUUUAGCGUUUUAUGUAUUGGACAAUGAUCAAGAUGAACCAAUAAUUACUUUUUGUUUUACAUAUCUAUGUGGGAAAAUUCAUCCCAAUAUGUUUUUGAAAUAAAGCCAGAUCAUAGAAGUCAUCAAAAGGCAACAAAAAUAAUCAAAGGAAUGGCAACUAGCAUCCCCAACAGCACAUUGAGCUUUCCUCCUUUUGUUGACUGCUUUCACCCUUCUUCAAACCAAGAUUAAUCAAAUGUGACAGAUUUUGAAGGCCUCAAGAAUCUAAUGAAUUGUUACGGGGAAAAUUUUGUAUCUAUCAUAGACAAAGGGUGAGGAAUAGCAACAUAAAUCGUCAAAGAUGGCUCUAGUUGGAAGAAAAGGACCCAAUUCCACAUGGACGAUUUGGCAAGUGGGCUCGGAGGAUGUAGCCACCAUGGUUAGUGGCCUUUCUUUCUCUUCCUGGUUUCAUGGCCUUCAUAAGCUCUCUCUCUGUCCAUACCCCAGAGAAAGAGGGGGAGAAUGGGGCAUUUUUGGGAAGUGUGGGUUACAGCUCGGGGAAAAAAAAAAAAAAAAAA
Cucurbita maxima (winter squash) is the source of this 853-nucleotide long non-coding RNA. RefSeq lists it as uncharacterized. The transcript is spliced from 2 exons. The record is from RefSeq and is a predicted model, not a curated record. Lineage: Eukaryota; Viridiplantae; Streptophyta; Magnoliopsida; Cucurbitales; Cucurbitaceae.